RNAcentral lists this ribosomal RNA (496 nucleotides) under uncultured bacterium. RNAcentral's name for it is "partial 16S ribosomal RNA". It matches the Rfam family "Bacterial small subunit ribosomal RNA", at positions 29 to 507 of the family's 1533-position model. The record is from RNAcentral.
AUGCACGCUGGCGGCGUGCCUAAUACAUGCAAGUCGAGCGAACAGACGAGGAGCUUGCUCCUCUGACGUUAGCGGCGGACGGGUGAGUAACACGUGGAUAACCUACCUAUAAGACUGGGAUAACUUCGGGAAACCGGAGCUAAUACCGGAUAAUAUAUUGAACCGCAUGGUUCAAUAGUGAAAGACGGUUUUGCUGUCACUUAUAGAUGGAUCCGCGCCGCAUUAGCUAGUUGGUAAGGUAACGGCUUACCAAGGCAACGAUGCGUAGCCGACCUGAGAGGGUGAUCGGCCACACUGGAACUGAGACACGGUCCAGACUCCUACGGGAGGCAGCAGUAGGGAAUCUUCCGCAAUGGGCGAAAGCUUGACGGAGCAACGCCGCGUGAGUGAUGAGGGUCUUCGGAUCGUAAAACUCUGUUAUUAGGGAAGAACAAAUGUGUAAGUAACUAUGCACGUCUUGACGGUACCUAAUCAGAAAGCCACGGCUAACUACGUG